This 1077-nucleotide long non-coding RNA is filed under the name Heterocephalus glaber (naked mole-rat). RNAcentral's name for it is "lncRNA (ENSHGLG00100052202.1)". The record is from RNAcentral. Lineage: Eukaryota; Metazoa; Chordata; Mammalia; Rodentia; Bathyergidae.
CUUUGUUGGAAUCAAACCUUGACGUGAACUUGUGCUUUAUUUUCUCAUAGGCCUCUUCCCUGAAGAAUGAAACUACAAUUUCUGAAAGAAGGAACACUUGGCCUUUAAAGCCAUGUUUGAAACUUGGUGGCAAUACCUGGAGAAGCCAGACAUCCAGCCAUGGACCCAUUAGAUCCUGAGUACCCAAAACUGGUGAGCAGAUCUACUAGCUACUGUCCUACAUUAAAGACUCUCCUUCAGUUCCAAGAAGCUGAACUCACCAGGUUGUGACCUCAGAAAUCCUCCUCGCUGUGAUUCACUGACAGCAGAGCAACAAGGACUGCUGCUUUCAGCCACAGGCCAUGGGUCUUGCCUGCGCUAGCCCAGUAGCCUGGGUGAGAUGCUUCGGGGUGGUGGACUUCUUACUCAUGUGCACCGGUCAGAGCACUGACCCUGAGAUCCAAGCCUGCCCUGCAGUGUUUCAUCCUCAGCUUCUACCUGUCCGGAAUUCAUGAUCCCCACUCUGGAUCUUGGGAUGUCUGAUAGCCAAGGAUCCAGGGAGACGUAGAAGACCAAGGAGAACAUGCCUUGGCAGAACUUAAUGCAAAAAGACAGUGACCUCUUCCAACCCUUGUGGAAUCAAUUGUGGUUGUGUUUAAUCAUUUUUGGUGGGUUUUGUCACAAAUUCUUUCCAUAUUUACUACACUGUUAUCUUCAUAUUUACGGAAAUGGGCUACUUUCCUUGAUGCCAUUGGACAUUCCCUUUACCUUCAGUGAUCCUCAAAUACAUACAUUUUGCAUGGAUUCUUAGAGCCUCCAGUUUGAAUCCAUACCUAGUAGAUUUGUCACUGUAAACAAAGAUCACUUGGAUGAUGUUAAUACACCCUAGAAUUGCAAUGUCUUUGUGUACUACCCACCACCAAGAUAAAUGAAUUGUCCCUAUUCCUAUUUCCACAUUCAUAUAUAAUACAAAUGCCAUGAAAAUAGUCACUUACAAAUAAAAUAGGGAAGCAUCACAUGAAAAACCUUAACCCCUUAUGAACUCAACCAGUGUUUAUUGAGGACCUACUAUGUGCCAAGCAUUGUAUUAAAUUCUGG